This is a long non-coding RNA of Epinephelus moara (kelp grouper), 1005 nucleotides long. RefSeq lists it as uncharacterized. Lineage: Eukaryota; Metazoa; Chordata; Actinopteri; Perciformes; Serranidae. The transcript has 3 exons. The record is from RefSeq and is a predicted model, not a curated record.
GAAUCAACAUGGCUGCCACCGUCUAACAAGCGAAACUAAAACAGUGUUCCAAAACAGUAAAUAAUUAUUUAGGUAUUUGAGAAAUAAGUGGAUAAAACGUACAACUAUCACUUUAUAAUGUUUCUGAAGUGUUUCCCUGAUGGAUUACUUCUCUCCUCGAUGGAUUCUAAAAACACGUGACGGCUCGUAACUGCUGAACGUCGCUCUGGACAGAAACACACUUGGAUCACUACGGAUGAGCGGUAUGGAGAUACUUUGUGGAUUCAAUUUUGUGUUCUUGGACAUUAGUCUGGGGCGCCGUCUGCCAUCAGGUGUGCAAGCCGCUCCCCCCGCCGAUCUCCGCAAGGGAUGUGAGGACUCCACCAGGGCCUCCGUCAGCAUAUGGGAUUACAUUUGGCAGCAUGGCUCUGUUCUGCACCUCUCCACGCACCUAUGUGGAAAGCCUACGGCAGAGAGAGCGCACCUCUCUGUACUUCCACAUACCUACAUGGAAAGCCUAAGGCGGAUAAAGCACACCUCUCUGCCCUUCCACGUGCCUACAUGGAAAGCUUAAGGCGGAGAGAGCACACCGCUCUGGUCUUCCACAGACAAACAAGGAAAGCCUGGGGCAGAGAUAGCAUUGAUCAAUGACACUGAUAAGUCGGAAACAACAUGAAAAGGAGGAGCUGGGGUGGAGCCGGGUUGCAAAGUGGUUUGCAGAGGAAUCAGCAACAGUAGUUAAAUAGGGCGCCCUGAAUGAGAUUUGCCAAUUGGUUGCCAGCAAGGAACCAUGUCAUCUAUCAGCUGACUCAAUUCCAUCAAUCAGCUGCUCCAUCAGCUGCUGUCGCUGGGAUGUGAGCUGAGCUUGACAUUGUGUCCUGCCUGAACAAACGCCAUUUUGAAUUUUGUAUGAUGUCCUGUAAAUUAGUGCCCCAUGAAUGACUUCUUUUUCACAGAAAAUCAAAUCAAAAGAAAAUGUUGGUAUUGUACAAUUCUGCAAACCACAAAUAUAUUACAUUUGCACAU